AGAAUCAACGCUGGCGGCGUGCCUAACACAUGCAAGUCGCACGAGAAAGGGACUUCGGUCCUGAGUACAGUGGCGCACGGGUGAGUAACACGUGAAUAAUCUACCUCCGAGUGGGGAAUAACUGAGAGAAAUCUUAGCUAAUACCGCAUAACACUUACGAGUCAAAGCAGCAAUGCGCUUGGAGAGGAGUUCGCGGCAGACUAGUUAGUUGGCGGGGUAAUGGCCCACCAAGACGAUGAUCUGUAUCCGGCCUGAGAGGGCGCACGGACACACUGGAACUGAAACACGGUCCAGACUCCUACGGGAGGCAGCAGUGGGGAAUUUUGCGCAAUGGGGGAAACCCUGACGCAGCAACGCCGCGUGGAGGAUGAAAUAUCUUGGUAUGUAAACUCCUUUCGAUGGGGAAGAUAAUGACGGUACCCAUAGAAGAAGCCCGGCUAACUCGCGCCAGCAGCCGC
Molecule: ribosomal RNA, 458 nt
Filed under: uncultured bacterium
Lineage: Bacteria
Description: SSU rRNA
Rfam family: Bacterial small subunit ribosomal RNA
Source: RNAcentral